ACUUAAGAAGGCAGUCUUUGUAUGGUUUACAUUUAAUAGCCAAUUUCCUUUUUCUGAAUAUAUUGUUUUGAUUUCAGCUAAACUGAUGAGGUGUCAGAGUGAUUGUACCUCCCCGCAAGUUGUGUUAUAGGAGCUGCACUGAAAACAGGUGAUGUUAGUCAUACCUCCUAAUAAAUCAGAGGCUACACUUGGGUUUCAUCACAACUGUCUUAGGACAAAAAGGCUGGUAGCACAAAACAGCUGAGAAAAGACUGUCUGAAGAAUCAGAGCAUCAAGGAAAUUCCCUGUUCCUGGGGCUGCUUGUUUGGCUUUUACUCAGGCAGUUCCUGAAAUCAAUACAGUCAUUUAGCCAGUGAUUGGCCAAUCAUUUUUCUAAGGAACUACAAGAAAGAGCCUCAAAUGGGAGGGACAAUGCAAAUGAGAAAAUGAAUUAAUGGCCAUUACAAUAGACAGCAAAAGAAAGUGCAGUUCUGAGGAAGCUUGAAAGUGUUUAGGUAGAUAAUAAAUUUUGAAUACCUUCUCUUAUGAAAAGUCAAACAGCACCGUAGAUGCCCACAAAUGCUGUAAGGACAGUGGAUUUAUAUCCUAUCAGAAAAUGGAAUUAAAGAAUAUCUGAGGAGGGCUGCAAUACCCUGUGCUGAAUGGAGUGAUCAGCAACAAAAAAGCCCAGAGGUAACAGAGGUGUAUCUUGCGCUGAAUGGAGAUAUUUCACAUAAGCUUGUUGACACAAAGCUUGCAGCCUGUUUGUCAGUGAU
RNAcentral lists this long non-coding RNA (755 nucleotides) under Anser brachyrhynchus (Pink-footed goose). Its description in RNAcentral is "lncRNA (ENSABRG00000010612.1)". The record is from RNAcentral. Lineage: Eukaryota; Metazoa; Chordata; Aves; Anseriformes; Anatidae.